Molecule: ribosomal RNA, 535 nt
Filed under: Scomber australasicus (blue mackerel)
Lineage: Eukaryota; Metazoa; Chordata; Actinopteri; Scombriformes; Scombridae
Description: partial 16S ribosomal RNA
Rfam family: Bacterial large subunit ribosomal RNA
Source: RNAcentral
CUGACCGUGCAAAGGUAGCGUAAUCACUUGUCUUUUAAAUGAAGACCUGUAUGAAUGGUAUUACGAGGGCUUAACUGUCUCCUUUUUCAGGUCAGUGAAAUUGAUCUCCCCGUGCAGAAGCGGGGAUAAGACCAUAAGACGAGAAGACCCUAUGGAGCUUUAAGACACUAAGCCAUAUCAAGUUAAAUACCCCCUAACAAGGGGCCAAACUUAUUGAAAUCAUUGGCCGUAUGUCUUCGGUUGGGGCGACCAUGGGGAAACAAAAAACCCCCACGUGGAAUGGGAGCACAUUUACUCCUACAGUCAAGAGCCGCCACUCUAACAAACAGAAUUUCUGACCAAUAACUGAUCCGGCAACGCCGAUCAACGGACCAAGUUACCCUAGGGAUAACAGCGCAAUCCCCUUUUAGAGCCCCUAUCGACAAGGGGGUUUACGACCUCGAUGUUGGAUCAGGACAUCCUAAUGGUGCAGCCGCUAUUGAGGGUUCGUUUGUUCAACGAUUAAAGUCCUACGUGAUCUGAGUUCAGACCGGAG